GUCAGUCUGUCCGAGUGGUCUAAGGAGCCAGACUUGAAAUCUGGUGGGCUCUGCCCGCACAGGUUCGAACCCUGUGGCUGACG
This 83-nucleotide transfer RNA is filed under the name Lichtheimia ramosa. RNAcentral describes it as "tRNA-Ser (TGA) (tRNA-Ser-TGA-1-1)". It matches the Rfam family "tRNA". From Rfam's summary of the family: Transfer RNA (tRNA) molecules are approximately 80 nucleotides in length. The record is from RNAcentral. RNAcentral also lists the same sequence under 1 other name. Lineage: Eukaryota; Fungi; Mucoromycota; Mucoromycetes; Mucorales; Lichtheimiaceae.